Molecule: ribosomal RNA, 492 nt
Filed under: uncultured bacterium
Lineage: Bacteria
Description: partial 16S ribosomal RNA
Rfam family: Bacterial small subunit ribosomal RNA
Source: RNAcentral
AGUGAACGCUGGCGGUAGGCCUAACACAUGCAAGUCGAACGGCAGCACAGUAAGAGCUUGCUCUUACGGGUGGCGAGUGGCGGACGGGUGAGGAAUACAUCGGAAUCUACUUUUUCGUGGGGGAUAACGUAGGGAAACUUACGCUAAUACCGCAUACGACCUACGGGUGAAAGCAGGGGAUCUUCGGACCUUGCGCGAUUGAAUGAGCCGAUAUCGGAUUAGCGAGUUGGCGGGGUAAAGGCCCACCAAGGCGACGAUCCGUAGCUGGUCUGAGAGGCUGAUCGGCCACACUGGAACGGAGACACGGUCCAGACUACUACGGGAGGCAGCAGUGGGGAAUAUUGGACAAUGGGCGCAAGCCUGAUCCAGCCAUACCGCGUGGGUGAAGAAGGCGUUCGGGUUGUAAAGCCCUUUUGUUGGGAAAGAAAAGCAGCAGCUUAAUACCCCGCUGUUCUGACGGUACCCAAAGAAUAAGCACCGGCUAACUUCGUG